This 295-nucleotide long non-coding RNA is filed under the name Ananas comosus (pineapple). Its description in RNAcentral is "long non-coding RNA (ACOM_LNC029068)". Lineage: Eukaryota; Viridiplantae; Streptophyta; Magnoliopsida; Poales; Bromeliaceae. The record is from RNAcentral.
CGAUAUUUCGGUGGUCGAAAGAAAUUGAUCGCGAUUCGUUCAAAUACGACCUAUAUGAAUUUUGAGAGGAGAAUGUAUCGUUUAGUAAAUUGUAAUAGAGAAGAAUGUUGUCUUAAAUAUAAAAUUCGAUGCCCUAUGGGAGCGAAUGAAUAUAUUGAUCAUGAUAUAGUAGAUGAUGAAUCAUUGGAGGGUUUAAUUGGAUUGUCUGAAUGUUAUGGAUGUGUGUCGUUAUAUAUCGAGAAAGAUUUAUAUCCGUCGGAGACACAAUAUCAGUCGCAAGGUUAUUACACAAGUC